UACGGAGGGUGCAAGCGUUAUCCGGAUUCACUGGGUUUAAAGGGUGCGUAGGUGGAUCGGUAAGUCCGUGGUGAAAUCCCCGAGCUUAACUCGGGAACUGCCGUGGAUACUAUCGAUCUUGAAUACUGUGGAGGUAAGCGGAAUAUGUCAUGUAGCGGUGAAAUGCUUAGAUAUGACAUAGAACACCGAUAGCGAAGGCAGCUUGCUACACAGUUAUUGACACUGAGGCACGAAAGCGUGGGGAGCAAACAGG
RNAcentral lists this ribosomal RNA (253 nucleotides) under uncultured bacterium. Its description in RNAcentral is "partial 16S ribosomal RNA". It matches the Rfam family "Bacterial small subunit ribosomal RNA", at positions 524 to 776 of the family's 1533-position model. The record is from RNAcentral.